AUUGAACGCUAGCGGGAUGCUUUACACAUGCAAGUCGAACGGAGUGGCGAACGGGUGAGUAAUGUAUCGGAACGUGCCCAGUAGCGGGGGAUAACUACGCGAAAGCGUCGCUAAUACCGCAUACUAUUGGAGCGGCCGAUAUCGGAUUAACUAGAUGGUGAGGUAACGGUUCACCAAGGCGACGAUCCGUAGCUGGUUUGAGAGGACGACCAGCCACCCUGGGACUGAGACACGGCCCAGACUCCUACGGGAGGCAGCAGUGGGGAAUUUUGGACAAUGGGGGCAACCCUGAUCCAGCCAUCCCGCGUGUGCGAUGAAGGCCUUCGGGUUGUAAAGCACUUUUGGCAGGAAAGCGGUACCUGCAGAAUAAGCACCGGCUAACUACGUGCCAGCAGCCGCGGUAAUUC
Molecule: ribosomal RNA, 407 nt
Filed under: uncultured bacterium
Lineage: Bacteria
Description: partial 16S ribosomal RNA
Rfam family: Bacterial small subunit ribosomal RNA
Source: RNAcentral